CGGAAGUAGUUUCAUAGGAGAUGACGUCAUCGAGCUGUUUGGCAGCUGCUUGGAGGGAGAGAUGGAGAAUCUGAGUGGGGUCCACUAUGGAUUUGUUGAUAAGGAUGGAGUUGAAGGCUUCUUUACACGAUGGGGUAUUACAGGCGGCGUUUGAAAAGAAUAUUCUGACAGCUGCGUUGUCGGAAAUUGAUUCGGCGGUUUCCGGGAUGCCGUGGUGAACGAGGUAGAAGCUGAAUGC
Molecule: long non-coding RNA, 238 nt
Filed under: Erythranthe guttata (spotted monkey flower)
Lineage: Eukaryota; Viridiplantae; Streptophyta; Magnoliopsida; Lamiales; Phrymaceae
Description: long non-coding RNA (EGUT_LNC001266)
Source: RNAcentral